UCCCUCCAGAUUCCUUACCCCUCAAACCUAAAGAGUGGUCUAAGUGGCUUUCCAAAAAGAUGAGGCAAAGCAAAACCGAAAUAGACUUUGGGUCUUUAGUGACAAGUUCAUCUCAAACACAC
This 122-nucleotide small nucleolar RNA is filed under the name Echinops telfairi (small Madagascar hedgehog). Its description in RNAcentral is "Small nucleolar RNA SNORA61 (ENSETEG00000026851.1)". Lineage: Eukaryota; Metazoa; Chordata; Mammalia; Afrosoricida; Tenrecidae. The record is from RNAcentral.